GGCGGACGGGUGAGUAAUGCAUAGGAAUCUGCCCGAUAGUGGGGGAUAACCUGGGGAAACCCAGGCUAAUACCGCAUACGUCCUACGGGAGAAAGGGGGCUUCGGCUCCCGCUAUUGGAUGAGCCUAUGUCGGAUUAGCUAGUUGGUAAGGUAAUGGCUUACCAAGGCAACGAUCCGUAGCUGGUCUGAGAGGAUGAUCAGCCACAUCGGGACUGAGACACGGCCCGAACUCCUACGGGAGGCAGCAGUGGGGAAUAUUGGACAAUGGGGGCAACCCUGAUCCAGCCAUGCCGCGUGUGUGAAGAAGGCCCUCGGGUUGUAAAGCACUUUCAGCGAGGAAGAACGCCUAUCGGUUAAUACCCGGUAGGAAAGACAUCACUCGCAGAAGAAGCACCGGCUAACUCCGUGCCAGCAGCCGCGGUAAUACGGAGGGUGCAAGCGUUAAUCGGAAUUACUGGGCGUAAAGCGCGCGUAGGUGGCUUGAUAAGCCGGUUGUGAAAGCCCCGGGCUCAACCUGGGAACGGCAUCCGGAACUGUCAGGCUAGAGUGCAGGAGAGGAAGGUAGAAUUCCCGGUGUAGCGGUGAAAUGCGUAGAGAUCGGGAGGAAUACCAGUGGCGAAGGCGGCCUUCUGGACUGACACUGACACUGAGGUGCGAAAGCGUGGGUAGCAAACAGGAUUAGAUACCCUGGUAGUCCACGCCGUAAACGUUGUUUACCAGCCGUUGGGUGCCUAGAGCACUUUGUGGCGAAGUUA
RNAcentral lists this ribosomal RNA (755 nucleotides) under uncultured bacterium. Its description in RNAcentral is "bacterial SSU rRNA". It matches the Rfam family "Bacterial small subunit ribosomal RNA", at positions 97 to 854 of the family's 1533-position model. The record is from RNAcentral.